GCCGGGCGUGGUGGUGCACGCCUGUAAUCCCAGCUACUCAGGAGGCUGAGGCAGGAGAAUUGCUUGAACCCAGGAGAUGGAGGUUGCAGUGAGCCGAGAUCAUGCCACUGCACUCCAGCCUGGGUGACAGAGUGAGACUCUGUCUCAA
RNAcentral lists this signal recognition particle RNA (148 nucleotides) under Nomascus leucogenys (northern white-cheeked gibbon). RNAcentral describes it as "Metazoan signal recognition particle RNA". It matches the Rfam family "Metazoan signal recognition particle RNA". From Rfam's summary of the family: The signal recognition particle (SRP) is a universally conserved ribonucleoprotein. The record is from Rfam by way of RNAcentral. Lineage: Eukaryota; Metazoa; Chordata; Mammalia; Primates; Hylobatidae.